This is a long non-coding RNA of Vigna angularis (adzuki bean), 1475 nucleotides long. RefSeq lists it as uncharacterized. The record is from RefSeq and is a predicted model, not a curated record. The transcript has 2 exons. NCBI's taxonomy places the organism in Eukaryota, Viridiplantae, Streptophyta, Magnoliopsida, Fabales, Fabaceae.
GGUAGAGUAAGAAGACCGUACAGAGAAGAAAAUUAUGAGAAAAUAGAUUUCAAAAGCAGAUGUUUCAGAGUCGUUUGCAAAUUUUCGCUUUCUUCUCGAUGAAUCAUCUGUUCCAUCAAAGUUGGCGGUGGCUGCACUCUGACUUGUACUGAAAAAAGUAAUCUUCCCAUCAAGAUUCCAUAUUUAGCGAGUUGGUUUCUGAUAUUUGGCAACCAAUCACUGGUAGUUCCAGAUUCUGAGCAUCCACUGUGGCUGCCAGGUUGAAUGAAUCCAUGUCAUAGGCACUGUUGUCUAUGUUGUAGCCAUCAUAUGAACAGAUGCCAAAGUCAUAGUUGUCUAAGGCCUGGAAUUGAUUUGUAGUGCACCCCAAAGGCUGAGUCAUAUAUUGGAUAUUUACUGAUUCUGAAUUGGAAAUGCUUGAACCAUUGUUGUGCUCAGAGUCUGAGUUCUGCUCAUGCUGAUUCAAAUGGUUGACACCUCGCUGGCUAGUGAUUUGUGUUUCUGGUGUUGCCUCAAUCCCAAAUGAUGAAUAAUGAAAACCACCAUUAGAAGGCAUAUGAAUUUCUUGGUCUUGGAGUGACAUGGCUGAAGGAGAUGAUUCUUGUGCUUUAUGAAGACAUCUUGUCAUCUGUAGAGCCUUGAAAAAUUCUACAAAUCCUGUUGUUCUCUGUGUCUCAGAUUUCAUAUAUCUUGCUUGUUUCUGAAUCCUUGUUCUCCAAUAGUUCUUUAUUUCAUUGUCUGUUCUGCCUGGCAGCUGUUGUGCAAUUUUUGACCACCUACAACAAUCACAUAAGUGGGAAUAAGAAUCCAAAGAAAGGAUAUUAUUCUGAAUUUGACUAGCACAUGGCUAGUGGCCCGUUUUGCUUCUUUCUCAACAAUAAAAAGCGUUUGAAUAAGCACAGUUUCACUAAGACAAGUAAAUAUGAGCUAUGCACCUGUUACCCCACCUUGAGUGGAGUUCAAAAAUCAAAAGCUGCUCCUCUGAGGUUAAAUUGCCUCGUUUAACAUCUGGCUUUAGAUAAUUUAGCCACCUUAAUCUGCAACUCUUUCCUGUUCUCCUUAAGCCUUGAGAAAAUUUAGUCAUCACAAAAGAUAAAGAAAGUAAUCAGAAUUAGCAUGCAAAUUGUUCACAAGAAUAUAAAAGUUACCACCAACAAGGUUUCUUUUCAUUCUUAUCUUGGAUUACCUGCACGUAUAGCAAGCAAAUUCCAUCUCCCUUCUCCAUGAUUGGCAAUGUAAUUCCCAAGAAGAUCAUCCUCUUCAAUACUCCAUGGCCCUCUUCUAAGUUCAGUAUCUUCUUCACUGUAACAGAUGAUGCUCUUUGAAGAAGCAGACAUGGCAAGUCUCAUUGAUCAAAACUAGAAACACCAUGCAUAUAUAUGCAGAGGAGAGUCAUUAUAAGUAUGUAAAUUAGCCUACGCCAGAUAUAUAAGUACACUGGUUUGAAUCUAUUAACAGUGUAACAUAUUUUUGUG